Molecule: ribosomal RNA, 274 nt
Filed under: uncultured bacterium
Lineage: Bacteria
Description: partial 16S ribosomal RNA
Rfam family: Bacterial small subunit ribosomal RNA
Source: RNAcentral
ACCCUACGGGAGGCAGCAGUAGGGAAUCUUCCACAAUGGACGAAAGUCUGAUGGAGCAACGCCGCGUGAGUGAAGAAGGGUUUCGGCUCGUAAAGCUCUGUUGGUAGUGAAGAAAGAUAGAGGUAGUAACUGGCCUUUAUUUGACGGUAAUUACUUAGAAAGUCACGGCUAACUACGUGCCAGCAACCGCGGUAAUACGUAGGUGGCAAGCGUUGUCCGGAUUUAUUGGGCGUAAAGCGAGUGCAGGCGGUUUAAUAAAGCUGAAGUGGAAGCC